RNAcentral lists this ribosomal RNA (648 nucleotides) under Triticum aestivum (bread wheat). Its description in RNAcentral is "partial small subunit ribosomal RNA". The record is from RNAcentral. Lineage: Eukaryota; Viridiplantae; Streptophyta; Magnoliopsida; Poales; Poaceae.
AUGAGCUCCUGUCUCUCUCACAUCAUUAGAGAUCAUUCCCUGGACUUUAUUGGUCUACAAGAGACUCACAAAAAAGUUAUCGAUAGUUUCUUUAGAAAAAUUGACCCAUACCAGACAUAUGAAUGGAAUUUUGUUCCAUCUAUAGGCAGAUCUGGGGGAAUCCUUUGUGGAGUGAGAAAAGAAAGGUUUGAGGGAGUAGUGUGGAAAAAGGGCAGGUUUAUCCUGCAAGCUUCUUUCUUUGAUAAUAAAGAAAAAAAGAAGUGGACUCUUUGCACUGUAUAUGGUGCUGCACAUGAUAAAGAUAAGGAUCACUUCCUAACUGAACUGUCUGAGUUCUGUAGCCAUAUAUCAUCCCCUUUACUUAUUGGGGGAGACUUUAAUAUUCUUAGGCAUGCUGGGGAAAAAGCAAACUGGAAACAUACCCCUUACUCUGAUUUGUUUAACUCUGUGAUCAAUGCUAUGUCUUUGAGUGAGGUUUAUAUGAGUGGGGGGAUGUACACCUGGACCAAUGGCCAAUCCCAUCCAACUCUGGAAAAAUUAGACCGUGUCCUUAUGAGUAGUGACUGGGAGGACAUUUUCCCUCAAGUCAACAUUAGGAAAUUGGUCAUAGAUGUAUCAGAUCAUAACGCUCUUUUGCUGUCCUCUGAC